Apis cerana (Asiatic honeybee) is the source of this 263-nucleotide long non-coding RNA. RefSeq lists it as uncharacterized. The record is from RefSeq and is a predicted model, not a curated record. NCBI's taxonomy places the organism in Eukaryota, Metazoa, Arthropoda, Insecta, Hymenoptera, Apidae.
CUUCUGUUAACUUUUUAUUAAUUGAAAAUUGAUAUAAGUAUUCGCAUUUGCAUUUCUCGUAUAUGGAUUUCUUGUGAAAGGAUUUUUUAAGCGAAUUCUUAUUCUUUGAAGUAGAAGACUUGCUUCUCUUAAAUUUUGCAAGAGCAAAUAAAGCGGAAUCUCAACAACAUAAGGUAAUUUAAAAAUCUUGAAAAAUAAAAAAAAAGGAUCGUUACAUCUGCAUUUGCAAGGUGAUAUUUAAGAUACAUUCAAAAGAAAAAUAU